Molecule: ribosomal RNA, 757 nt
Filed under: uncultured bacterium
Lineage: Bacteria
Description: bacterial SSU rRNA
Rfam family: Bacterial small subunit ribosomal RNA
Source: RNAcentral
AGAGUUUGAUCCUGGCUCAGAUCAACGCUGGCGGCGCGCCUAACACAUGCAAGUCGAGCGAGAAAGCAGGAGCAAUCUUGUGAGUAAAGCGGCGUACGGGUGAGUAACACGUGGAUCAUCUACCUCUUUGUGGGGGAUAACUCUGGGAAACCGGAGCUAAUACCGCAUAAGUCCGAGAGGAGAAAGCAGCAAUGCGCAGAGAGAGGAGUCCGCGGCCGAUUAGCUAGUUGGUAGGGUAAAAGCCUACCAAGGCUGAGAUCGGUAGCCGGCCUGAGAGGGCACACGGCCACACUGGCACUGAAACACGGGCCAGACUCCUACGGGAGGCAGCAGUGGGGAAUCUUGCACAAUGGGGGCAACCCUGAUGCAGCGACGCCGCGUGAGCGAUGAAGCCCUUCGGGGUGUAAAGCUCUUUCGGCAGGGAAGAUUAUGACGGUACCUGCAGAAGCAGCUGCGGCUAACUACGUGCCAGCAGCCGCGGUAAUACGUAGGCAGCAAGCGUUGUUCGGAGUUACUGGGCGUAAAGGGUGUGUAGGCGGUUCCCUAAGUUUGGUGUGAAAUCUCCCGGCUCAACUGGGAGGGUGCGCCGAAAACUGGGGGGCUAGAGUACUGGAUGGGAGAGUGGAAUUCCUGGUGUAGCGGUGAAAUGCGUAGAUAUCAGGAGGAACACCUGUGGUGUAGACGGCUCUCUGGACAGUAACUGACGCUGAGACACGAAAGCGUGGGUAGCAAACAGGAUUAGAUACCCUAGUAGUCC